AACUCAAAUGAAUUGACGGGGGCCCGCACAAGCGGUGGAGCAUGUGGUUUAAUUCGAUGCAACGCGAAGAACCUUACCUGGUCUUGACAUCCACGGAAGUUUUCAGAGAUGAGAAUGUGCCUUCGGGAACCGUGAGACAGGUGCUGCAUGGCUGUCGUCAGCUCGUGUUGUGAAAUGUUGGGUUAAGUCCCGCAACGAGCGCAACCCUUAUCCUUUGUUGCCAGCGGUCCGGCCGGGAACUCAAAGGAGACUGCCAGUGAUAAACUGGAGGAAGGUGGGGAUGACGUCAAGUCAUCAUGGCCCUUACGACCAGGGCUACACACGUGCUACAAUGGCGCAUACAAAGAGAAGCGACCUCGCGAGAGCAAGCGGACCUCAUAAAGUGCGUCGUAGUCCGGAUUGGAGUCUGCAACUCGACUCCAUGAAGUCGGAAUCGCUAGUAAUCGUGGAUCAGAAUGCCACGGUGAAUACGUUCCCGGGCCUUGUACACACC
This 493-nucleotide ribosomal RNA is filed under the name Shigella flexneri. Its description in RNAcentral is "bacterial SSU rRNA". It matches the Rfam family "Bacterial small subunit ribosomal RNA", at positions 898 to 1391 of the family's 1533-position model. Lineage: Bacteria; Pseudomonadati; Pseudomonadota; Gammaproteobacteria; Enterobacterales; Enterobacteriaceae. The record is from RNAcentral.